AGCACUUGUAUUCGUGUUUGUUUAAUUUGUGAACAAAGACUCACAGACAGGUGCAAAAAUAAAUCCUCUUUUGCAACCCAGAACUCAUUGUUAAGUAUGAGUUUUGAUACAGAUAAGAAGGGACAUA
This 127-nucleotide small nucleolar RNA is filed under the name Procavia capensis (Cape rock hyrax). RNAcentral describes it as "Small nucleolar RNA SNORA40 (ENSPCAG00000019270.1)". It matches the Rfam family "Small nucleolar RNA SNORA40". Rfam says of the family: The snoRNA ACA 40 belongs to the H/ACA family of snoRNAs and guides the pseudouridylation of 28S rRNA subunit at position U4565. NB This family has a high threshold value to exclude a large number of closely related sequences that do not appear to have conserved H and ACA boxes, and may be pseudogenes. The record is from RNAcentral. Lineage: Eukaryota; Metazoa; Chordata; Mammalia; Hyracoidea; Procaviidae.